RNAcentral lists this ribosomal RNA (496 nucleotides) under uncultured bacterium. RNAcentral describes it as "partial 16S ribosomal RNA". It matches the Rfam family "Bacterial small subunit ribosomal RNA", at positions 28 to 506 of the family's 1533-position model. The record is from RNAcentral.
GAUGAACGCUGGCGGCGUGCCUAAUACAUGCAAGUCGAGCGAACAGACGAGGAGCUUGCUCCUCUGACGUUAGCGGCGGACGGGUUAGUAACACGUGGAUAACCUACCUAUAAGACUGGGAUAACUUCGGGAAACCGGAGCUAAUACCGGAUAAUAUAUUGAACCGCAUGGUUCAAUAGUGAAAGACGGUUUUGCUGUCACUUAUAGAUGGAUCCGCGCCGCAUUAGCUAGUUGGUAAGGUAACGGCUUACCAAGGCAACGAUGCGUAGCCGACCUGAGAGGGUGAUCGGCCACACUGGAAAUGAGACACGGACCAGAAGCGUACGGGAGGCAGGAGUAGGGAAUCUUCCGGAAUGGGCGAAAGCUUGACGGAGCAACGCCGCGUGAGUGAUGAAGGGCUUCGGAUCGUAAAACUCUGUUAUUAGGGAAGUACAAAUGUGUAAGUAACUAUGAACGUCUUGACGGUACCGAAUCAGAAAGCCACGGCUAACUACGU